This 253-nucleotide ribosomal RNA is filed under the name uncultured bacterium. RNAcentral describes it as "partial 16S ribosomal RNA". It matches the Rfam family "Bacterial small subunit ribosomal RNA", at positions 524 to 776 of the family's 1533-position model. The record is from RNAcentral.
UACGUAUGGUGCAAGCGUUAUCCGGAUUUACUGGGCGUAAAGGGAGCGCAGGCGGCGCGCCAAGUCUGAUGUGAAACCCCGGGGCUCAACCCCGGGCAUGCAUUGGAAACUGGCGGGCUGGAGUGCCGGAGAGGUAAGCGGAAUUCCUAGUGUAGCGGUGAAAUGCGUAGAUAUUAGGAAGAACACCAGUGGCGAAGGCGGCUUACUGGACGGCAACUGACGCUGAGGCUCGAAAGCGUGGGGAGCAAACAGG